GAUGAACGCUGGCGGCGUGCCUAAUACAUGCAAGUCGAGCGAACAGACGAGGAGCUUGCUCCUCUGACGUUAGCGGCGGACGGGUGAGUAGCACGUGGAUAACCUACCUAUAAGACUGGGAUAACUUCGGGAAACCGGAGCUAAUACCGGAUAAUAUAUUGAACCGCAUGGUUCAAUAGUGAAAGACGGUUUUGCUGUCACUUAUAGAUGGAUCCGCGCCGCAUUAGCUAGUUGGUAAGGUAACGGCUUACCAGGGCGACGAUGCGUAGCCGACCUGAGAGGGUGAACGGCCACACUGGAACUGAGACACGGUCCAGACUCCUACGGGAGGCAGCAGUAGGGAAUCUUCCGCAAUGGGCGAAAGCCUGACGGAGCAACGCCGCGUGAGUGAUGAAGGUCUUCGGAUCGUAAAACUCUGUUAUUAGGGAAGAACAAAUGUGUAAGUAACUAUGCACGUCUUGACGGUACCUAAUCAGAAAGCCACGGCUAACUACGUG
This 497-nucleotide ribosomal RNA is filed under the name uncultured bacterium. Its description in RNAcentral is "partial 16S ribosomal RNA". It matches the Rfam family "Bacterial small subunit ribosomal RNA", at positions 28 to 507 of the family's 1533-position model. The record is from RNAcentral.